CAUAGCUUGCUGAUUGGUUUCAUUCUCAGGCAGCUUCUGAAGAAAUCCUGAUUACAUCAUGCUCAACCUCCCUUUUUCCUUCAAAGCCUCAGUUUCUUUUUUCUUCUAAGCAGC
Molecule: non-coding RNA, 114 nt
Filed under: uncultured Stichotrichia
Lineage: Eukaryota; Ciliophora; Spirotrichea
Source: RNAcentral